AGAGUUUGAUCAUGGCUCAGGAUGAACGCUGGCGGCGUGCUUAACACAUGCAAGUCGAACGGGCCUAAGACUGAAGCUUGCUUUAGUUUAGGUUAGUGGCGGACGGGUGAGUAACGCGUGGGUAACCUACCCUGUGCAGGGGGAUAGCAGCUGGAAACGGCUGAUAAAACCGCAUAACACGGCAAGAUCGCAUGAUGAUGCCGUCAAAUAUUUAUAGGCACAGGAUGGGCCCGCGUCUGAUUAGCUAGUUGGCGGGGCAACGGCCCACCAAGGCGACGAUCAGUAGCCGGCCUGAGAGGGUGAACGGCCACAUUGGGACUGAGACACGGCCCAAACUCCUACGGGAGGCAGCAGUGGGGAAUAUUGGACAAUGGGGGGAACCCUGAUCCAGCGACGCCGCGUGAGUGAAGAAGUAUUUCGGUAUGUAAAGCUCUAUCAGCAGGGAAGAUGAUGACGGUACCUGACUAAGAAGCACCGGCUAAAUACGUGCCAGCAGCUGC
This 500-nucleotide ribosomal RNA is filed under the name uncultured bacterium. RNAcentral's name for it is "bacterial SSU rRNA". It matches the Rfam family "Bacterial small subunit ribosomal RNA", at positions 8 to 518 of the family's 1533-position model. The record is from RNAcentral.